Molecule: RNase P RNA, 393 nt
Filed under: Mesobaculum littorinae
Lineage: Bacteria; Pseudomonadati; Pseudomonadota; Alphaproteobacteria; Rhodobacterales; Roseobacteraceae
Description: Bacterial RNase P class A
Rfam family: Bacterial RNase P class A
About the family: Ribonuclease P (RNase P) is a ubiquitous endoribonuclease, found in archaea, bacteria and eukarya as well as chloroplasts and mitochondria. Its best characterised activity is the generation of mature 5'-ends of tRNAs by cleaving the 5'-leader elements of precursor-tRNAs.
Source: Rfam by way of RNAcentral
GCGGAUGGCCGGAUGGCCGCACCCCUCGGGGUGAGGAAAGUCCGGACUCCACGAAGCGACGGUGCCGGGUAACGCCCGGGCGGGGUAACCCGACGGAAAGCGCCACAGAAAACAGACCGCCUGCCCCCCGGGGCAGGUCAGGGUGAAACGGUGGGGUAAGAGCCCACCGCGGGCCGGGUAACCGGGCCGGCACGGCAAGCCCCACCGGGAGCAAUGCCGAAUAGGGAUUCCGCGGAUGCGGCCCCCUUGCGGGGCGGUCCAGGGCUUUGCUUCGGCCCAGGAAUCCGGGUUGGCAGCAGGAUCCCGUCCGCAAGGGCGGGACCAGAUGAAUGGUCAUCCAUGGGCGCCUUUGGGCGCUCGGGACAGAAUCCGGCUUACAGGCCAUCCGCGCAA